GUAAGGAAUAUUGGACAAUGGGGGAAACCCUGAUCCAGCCAUGCCGCGUGAGUGAAGAAGGCCUUCGGGUUGUAAAACUCUUUCAGAUGUGAAGAUGAUGACGGUAACAUCAGAAGAAGCUCCGGCUAACUUCGUGCCAGCAGCCGCGGUAAUACGAAGGGAGCGAGCGUUGUUCGGAAUCACUGGGCGUAAAGAGUGCGUAGGCGGUUAUACAAGUCAGGAGUGAAAUCCCAGAGCUUAACUUUGGAAUUGCUUUUGAAACUGUAUAGCUAGAGUCCCGGAGGGGUUAAUGGAAUUCCGAGUGUAGAGGUGAAAUUCGCAGAUAUUCGGAGGAACACCAGUGGCGAAGGCGAUUAACUGGACGGGCACUGACGCUGAGGCACGAAAGCGUGGGGAUCAAACAGGAUUAGAUACCCGGGUAGUCC
RNAcentral lists this ribosomal RNA (425 nucleotides) under uncultured bacterium. RNAcentral's name for it is "bacterial SSU rRNA". It matches the Rfam family "Bacterial small subunit ribosomal RNA", at positions 354 to 796 of the family's 1533-position model. The record is from RNAcentral.